UGGGGAAUAUUGCACAAUGGGCGCAAGCCUGAUGCAGCCAUGCCGCGUGUAUGAAGAAGGCCUUCGGGUUGUAAAGUACUUUCAGUCGGGAGGAAGGUGUCAAGGUUAAUAACCUUGGCAAUUGACGUUACCGACAGAAGAAGCACCGGCUAACUCCGUGCCAGCAGCCGCGGUAAUACGGAGGGUGCAAGCGUUAAUCGGAAUUACUGGGCGUAAAGCGCACGCAGGCGGUUGAUUGAGUCAGAUGUGAAAUCCCCGGGCUUAACCCGGGAAUUGCAUCUGAUACUGGUCAGCUAGAGUCUUGUAGAGGGGGGUAGAAUUCCAUGUGUAGCGGUGAAAUGCGUAGAGAUGUGGAGGAAUACCGGUGGCGAGGGCGGCCCCCUGGACAAAGACUGACGCUCAGGUGCGAAAGAGUGGGGAGCAAACAGG
This 429-nucleotide ribosomal RNA is filed under the name Chloroflexota bacterium. RNAcentral's name for it is "Chloroflexi bacterium partial 16S ribosomal RNA". It matches the Rfam family "Bacterial small subunit ribosomal RNA", at positions 355 to 776 of the family's 1533-position model. The record is from RNAcentral. Lineage: Bacteria; Bacillati; Chloroflexota.